GGGCAGCGGGGUUGUAGCAAUACAACUGCCGGCGACCGGCGCACGGGUGAGUAACACGUAUGUAACCUGCCCUCUGCAGGGGGAUAAGCGGAAGAAAUUCCGUCUAAUACCGCAUAAUACAAUUUGGAGACAUCUCCGGGUUGUCAAAGGAGUGAUCCGGCAGAGGAUGGACAUGCGGCGCAUUAGCUAGUCGGCGGGGUAACGGCCCACCGAGGCUACGAUGCGUAGGGGUUCUGAGAGGAAGGUCCCCCACACUGGUACUGAGACACGGACCAGACUCCUACGGGAGGCAGCAGUGAGGAAUAUUGGUCAAUGGGCGGAAGCCUGAACCAGCCAAGUCGCGUGAGGGAAGACGGUCCUAUGGAUUGUAAACCUCUUUUGCAGGGGAGCAAGGCGCGGUACGUGUACCGCGAAGGAGAAAAAAAUGUGUUUUAGCAUCGGCUAAGGGGGUGAAAACAGCCGCGGUAAUACGGAGGAUGCGAGCGUUAUCCGGAUUUAUUGGGUUUAAAGGGUGCACAGGCGGACUGUUAAGUCAGCGGUAAAAUGUCGGUGCUCAACACCGGCCGGCCGUUGAAACUGGCAGCCUUGAGUGAGCGAGAAGUAUGCGGAAUGCGUGGUGUAGCGGUGAAAU
This 631-nucleotide ribosomal RNA is filed under the name uncultured bacterium. Its description in RNAcentral is "bacterial SSU rRNA". It matches the Rfam family "Bacterial small subunit ribosomal RNA", at positions 67 to 687 of the family's 1533-position model. The record is from RNAcentral.